This is a small nuclear RNA of Podarcis muralis (Common wall lizard), 131 nucleotides long. Its record names the gene U1. It matches the Rfam family "U1 spliceosomal RNA". From Rfam's summary of the family: U1 is a small nuclear RNA (snRNA) component of the spliceosome (involved in pre-mRNA splicing). Lineage: Eukaryota; Metazoa; Chordata; Lepidosauria; Squamata; Lacertidae. The record is from Ensembl.
AGAAGCUCCUGGUAGGGAAGAUAUCGUGACCUUGAAGGUGAUUUCCCCAGGGUGAGGUUAAUGCCUGGCAUUCUGGGUGCGUUGACCCCUGUGAUUUCCCCAAAUGUGAGAAACUCAACUACAUAAUUUCC